This 48-nucleotide non-coding RNA is filed under the name Trichobilharzia regenti. The record is from RNAcentral. Lineage: Eukaryota; Metazoa; Platyhelminthes; Trematoda; Strigeidida; Schistosomatidae.
AUCCAGUUGACGAGUCCCAAAUAGGACGAAAUGCGCUAUAUCCUGCAU